AGUGAACGCUGGCGGUAGGCCUAACACAUGCAGGUCGAACGGCAGCACAGAGGAGCUUGCUCCUUGGGUGGCGAGUGGCGGACGGGUGAGGAAUACAUCGGAAUCUACUCUGUCGUGGGGGAUAACGUAGGGAAACUUACGCUAAUACCGCAUACGACCUACGGGUGAAAGCAGGGGAUCUUCGGACCUUGCGCGAUUGAAUGAGCCGAUGUCGGAUUAGCUAGUUGGCGGGGUAAAGGCCCACCAAGGCGACGAUCCGUAGCUGGUCUGAGAGGAUGAUCAGCCACACUGGAACUGAGACACGGUCCAGACUCCUACGGGAGGCAGCAGUGGGGAAUAUUGGACAAUGGGCGCAAGCCUGAUCCAGCCAUACCGCGUGGGUGAAGAAGGCCUUCGGGUUGUAAAGCCCUUUUGUUGGGAAAGAAAUCCAGCUGGCUAAUACCCGGUUGGGAUGACGGUACCCAAAGAAUAAGCAC
This 476-nucleotide ribosomal RNA is filed under the name Stenotrophomonas maltophilia. Its description in RNAcentral is "bacterial SSU rRNA". It matches the Rfam family "Bacterial small subunit ribosomal RNA", at positions 29 to 493 of the family's 1533-position model. The record is from RNAcentral. Lineage: Bacteria; Pseudomonadati; Pseudomonadota; Gammaproteobacteria; Lysobacterales; Lysobacteraceae.